This 429-nucleotide ribosomal RNA is filed under the name Chloroflexota bacterium. RNAcentral's name for it is "Chloroflexi bacterium partial 16S ribosomal RNA". It matches the Rfam family "Bacterial small subunit ribosomal RNA", at positions 355 to 776 of the family's 1533-position model. The record is from RNAcentral. Lineage: Bacteria; Bacillati; Chloroflexota.
UGGGGAAUAUUGCACAAUGGGCGCAAGCCUGAUGCAGCCAUGCCGCGUGUAUGAAGAAGGCCUUCGGGUUUUAAAGUACUUUCAGCGGGGAGGAAGGGAGUAAAGUUAAUACCUUUGCUCAUUGACGUUACCCGCAGAAGAAGCACCGGCUAACUCCGUGCCAGCAGCCGCGGUAAUUCGGAGGGUGCAAGCGUUAAUCGGAAUUACUGGGCGUAAAGCGCACGCAGGCGGUUUGUUAAGUCAGAUGUGAAAUCCCCGGGCUCAACCUGGGAACUGCAUCUGAUACUGGCAAGCUUGAGUCUCGUAGAGGGGGGUAGAAUUCCAGGUGUAGCGGUGAAAUGCGUAGAGAUCUGGAGGAAUACCGGUGGCGAAGGCGGCCCCCUGGACGAAGACUGACGCUCAGGUGCGAAAGCGUGGGGAGCAAACAGG